UCUUCUCAUCUUUUAUUAGGAUUCAUCAUAAUUGUCUGCUGGUUGUAAUGGACUUGCAAAAUCGCCAAUCCCAGCCAUGCCCCAAUUUUGAGUGUUCUUCAGUACAGGUUUCUAACACAUUGGCAUGACAGAUUUGAUGAGAAGUCAUAUUUUGAAGAAAAAGGACAAGAACCAUACAGUCAACAAGGUUCCUUGUUUGCUAACCAGUUGGCCGCUACCCUUCAAUCUCCCUGUUUACUUCCUUACACAGGUCCUAUUGAUUUGAGGGUAACUCUUUCGCGUCUGAUGACAUCAAGUCAUCAACUGUUAUAAACUGACGAGAGAAUGCUGCAAUUCAAGACUAGUGCAUUGUGUAGUUGUUAGAUAAAUGGCAAGUGCAUAUAUCUGGACUCCCUUCUUUUCUGUGGCCCCGUUUCCCUAACUAACCACUAACUAACUCCCGCCGGUGGUCACUCACCCGCUGUGAAACCAGGAGGAGGGGAGGGCUCUGGUCGAACGGGGACUUGGAAGGCGCAU
Molecule: long non-coding RNA, 516 nt
Organism: Daphnia pulex (common water flea)
Lineage: Eukaryota; Metazoa; Arthropoda; Branchiopoda; Diplostraca; Daphniidae
Exons: 3
Source: RefSeq, a predicted model, not a curated record